CAUUGCAGCACUGAGAUCAUCCUGGCCUCCAUGAUCAUCCAUUGUGAUGUUACUAGGCUGCGGUUGUUGACGGUUCAGUAUUUCUAAUCUUGCGAGCUCUUCGUUGCUUAACAUGAAUAAUGGUCCUUGUGCGUUGCUCCGAGUAUGUCUACUGGUCAUACACCUGGAUUAUUGGCUGCAACAAAGAGAGGAAAGCAAGUUAGAUGUCUUAGACUAAAUAUAGAACUGAAAAAUAAAGGUAAAUAUCUGGUCUCCGUCGCAACGGCGCCAAAACUUGAUACACUAAAACUGAACCUUUCCUACUGUCAAGUUAACAGGGGUAAUCGUAGUAUUUAAGAUUC
This 341-nucleotide long non-coding RNA is filed under the name Brassica napus (rape). RNAcentral describes it as "long non-coding RNA (BNAP_LNC010012)". Lineage: Eukaryota; Viridiplantae; Streptophyta; Magnoliopsida; Brassicales; Brassicaceae. The record is from RNAcentral.